Molecule: non-coding RNA, 1953 nt
Organism: Rattus norvegicus (Norway rat)
Lineage: Eukaryota; Metazoa; Chordata; Mammalia; Rodentia; Muridae
Source: RefSeq, a predicted model, not a curated record
AAAACAAACCGCUUAGGUGUCCUGGCAACACGGGGCACAUGCGCCUCUCCAGUAUAAGACCCACCACGAACCACCUGCCGCUACUCAGGGCAAGACUGAGACGGGGCGGAGACGGUCAUCCCUACUGAUUCUAGGUGUCAGGACCUGGGGCUUAGGGGUAGCCUGCAGAGCACGCCCAGGGGUGCUGACCCUCCUGUCUCGGCCUGAGUGCUGGGGUCACAGGUGUGAGUCACCACCAUGGGUUCCUACAGUGCUGGGGAUGGAAGGGGCUUCAGAUAGGCUGAGCCCCAUCUCUCCAGCCCUCAGAAUCUUUUUUUUUUUAAGAUUUAUUUAUUAUAUAUAAGUACACUGUCGCUGUCUUCAGACACACCAGAAGAGGGCAUCGGAUCCCCAUUACAGAUGGUUGUGAGCCACCAUGUGGUUGCUGGGAAUUGAACUCAGGACCUCAGGAAGAGCAGUUUGUGCUCUAACCACUGAGCCAUCCCUCCAGCCCACCUCAAAAAUCUUAAAAAGGAUGAGGAUGAGGCCUGGAGAGAUAGUUCAGCCUUUAGGGACCACUGGUUUUCUUCCAGAGGACCAGGGUUCGAUUCCCGGCACCAACAUGGUGGAUCACAGUCAUCUGCAAUUCCAGUUCCUCAGGACCAGACGCCCUCUUCAUCCCUGCUGGGCAAGGCAUGCGUGCGAUGCAUCUCCCGAACCCCUACAUAAGUCUUUUAAAUAGAAUAGGUACCCGGACCCUGGAUUUGGGGAGAGAACAUGGUGUGUUCUCUCUCACAUUCUUUCUCGCCUCUUCAUUACUCUGAAGUCAUCGGAAAAUGUAUGUAAAUGCAUCACGUGCAUGCAGUACCCCAGGUGGUCAGAAGAGGGCGUGCGAUCUCCCGCCAUUGGAGUUACAAAUGGUUGUAAUGCCUGAAUGCCGGUGGGUGCUGGAGGGGAAGCUUCGUUGUCAGGACACCUACGCGGUUUGUUUUCCAACCCCUGACUCUGGAAAAACCAGCAUCCUAGCUACUCGGGAGGCUGAGGCAAGAGGACGGACUGGCCAAGGUCGGCUUGGAUUACACAGUUCCGGAAAAGAUGCAUAUGAUCACCCAGAAAAGCGGGCGUCCUGCUGGACUGUCCCCACGUAUGAGGCCAGCGGUUCUGAGCACGGGAUGGAAAAGGACUGGGUCAAGGUCACCACCAGUUUAUGGAAAGAAUUGCGAGAAGGAUCCACAGCCCAGCGUGUCUGCUGUGUGGCGCACAGAACUUUGUAAAAGUAAACGCCAAUACUGUAAAUAAAUAUUUACAUCUUCCGAAGGAAAACAACAAGAUAGGCUGAACAGUAAAGGCUGAAGUUAAGUAGAGGCCAAGCCAGUCGGACCGACCGGAAGAUAGGCAGCCGGCUGAAGCGGCGGGGAUGAGUAAACACAGUGCGGGGGGACAUUUAAAUGGAACCAGUUGGAAUCGUGUAAACUGGGACAGACUCCACCCGGGGCCUCCCCGGCACACAAAACCGCACGUCCAAACGAUUGGUCUUAGUCUCUUGACAAGUGCGGUUCACUCCACCGACCCCGACCCCCCAACCCCCACCCCAAGGUUGCGAGAAAGGCUGAGGUAAUCUGAAGAUUGGCUUGGAGGUGGCCCUUAAGGGUCAAAGGGAAGUGUGGCGGGUGGGCAACCAGGACGGAUCCCAGAGAGAAGCUCCGAGCCCAGGACAAAGACGACCCUGGAAGUUGCAACCACGUCCCGCUUCCUCAACAAGAUUGAAGGGGCUCUGCAGGGUCCAGACCCUGUAAGCACACUUCGCCCAGAUUUCCCACACAACUCCGGUGGAUGCCCCCAACGGUCCUCACCACCUCCGAGCGACUCUCAGGCUCUGCGAUUCUUUUUUUUUUUUUUUUUUUUUUUUUGCACACACUGUUGCCUUUUCUCCAGAGAAGCCAUUAAAACGUGCAGUCGCAGGUUUACCCCUUA